This is a long non-coding RNA of Rosa rugosa (rugosa rose), 2775 nucleotides long. RefSeq lists it as uncharacterized. The transcript is spliced from 3 exons. Lineage: Eukaryota; Viridiplantae; Streptophyta; Magnoliopsida; Rosales; Rosaceae. The record is from RefSeq and is a predicted model, not a curated record.
GCAGCUACAUACAGAACUUAAUAACAAUAAUAAGAGCAAUUGGACAUUCAAUCUUGCAGUUGUCACUAGAAGCAAAGUUAUCAUCAUCGAAAAAGAAAAGGUUGCGUGCUCUUUCAUCAUACAGAGAUUUGAUACUCAUAUCAGGAUUAUCUACGAUCGAAUUCUUCACACGAAGCCUCCCAAAUUCGGACUGAAACCCCAAUAUCGAAAAUCGCUCUGUAUUUAUAUGGUGAUCGCGGGGGAAACACGGUAACUUGUGUGGUAAUUGCACUUUACCCCGUUUGUAAUUAUCAUUUUGACCCUUUUUGAUUUAUAAACCACAAUCAAUCUCAGUCAAACGACACUGCUUUGUGUUGGUUAUAGUACUCACUAAAUCAAAAGCAAUGUAAUGUGAUGUAUGGCAGUAUUACUAUUACACUUGAGGAUGUAGUCCAGAGUAAUGGAGUUUGUUUUCAUGGUUGUGCAUCACUUUUACGGAGCUUGGGUAAUGCCCACCAGGUGUUUGAAGAAUUGCCUGACCCAAAUGUGGUUUCUUGGAAAAGUAUGAUACUAUGAUAUCUUGCGAUAUAGGAUGUUGUUUUACACAAAUUUUCUCUUAUGGGUCUAUCUGGAACUCUGAAUGGGGCCAAGUUUACUUUUGUUCCUUGGCAGAAGAUGAUAUUUAACGAUUGAACCUUGGUUUCUAAGUUAUGAGUGUAUUGUAUUGUGUUUGGAUGAAAAAAGAUUGGAUACUUGUAUUGUGUUUUGAUGAAAAUAUACUAAUAAUUCGUUAAAAGAUACUAAAUAAUUGAAAGAAUGAUGCAGUUGCCUGGUGCCUGGAGUCAAGGUGUGUGUUUAGUCUUUUUCAUAAUUUUUGCUUUCCCAAUAUCAUGUGAAAUGACUACAAUGAAGAAAUAGAGUGGCAGAUGCUGUGCCUGAUUGACUGCCCAGCUUAUAGCUGUUGGUGGUCUUUAUGGUCAGCUAUGAUGUUGCCUUACUCAUCUGAGUGUCUUCUUGUUCGUACUUUAGAAGUUGCAUUAUUUUCUCUUUGACUUAACAUCUAGCUACUCGAUCAUAGAUCCUAAUUGAAAGUCCAGACUUUGUGACCCCUUGUGAUGAAAAUAUAUCAAUCAGGAUCCUCUGUAAUGGUAACUUGGACUAUCAGAGAAUGUAUGCUUGUAAGGAAAUGAAUUUUAGCCUUCUAAGUCACAGGUAAGACACAAAGACUGAAGAAAUUGUUGCUGUGGAAGAAAAAUAUGAGUCGGAAUGGAAGACAAUGAGAAAGGGGUUCUCUCAAGAUUUUAAACAAGCUGCUACAUGAAAAUAUCAUCAAGUGAUUGUGACACCUCCAAGUCCGCAGCAGAAAGAUGAUACUGGAAUCUAUUAUCGUCUUUGAAUACAUUGACCAUGAUUUGACAAGUCUAGCUCAUUGACCUGGGGUGAUAUUUUCAGUCCUCCAGCUUAAGUGCUACAUGAGACGAUUGCUGAAGGUUUUCACUACUGUCAUGUCCAUCAAGUACUUCAGCGUGAGAUUAAAAUCUCUAUCUUCUUAUAGACAAUGAAGGUAAUCUGAAGCUUGGAAUUUCGUCUUGCCCGUACCUUCUCACCAAAAGAUUAUCACAAUGCAACUCUCACAAAUCGUGUCAUUAUUUGGUUUAGACCUCCAGGGCUGCAGAGUUGCUUCUUGGGGGCUCCAAUUAUGGUCUAACUUUUGAUAUAUGAUCUGGUUUUUAUCUUUUAUGAGCUUCUACGGGGCGGUCAGUGAGGGCAAGAGCAAUUAAAUACAAUUUUCGAGCUGUGUGGAGUUCCAGAUGAGGUCAAACUGGCCUGAAGUUUCAAGCUUCAUAUGUGAAACAGCAUCAACUUCAAGCAAACAACAUGGCUGAGGUUUUGACACCAUGCUUUGGAGUUGUUAGAAAGAAUGCUUACGCUUGAUCCUUCUCAGAGAAUAUGGAUGCUCUUGAUUUUGAUAACUUCUGGACUUACCCAUUACCUUGUGAAGCCAAAAGUCUACCCAAGUAUGAACCCUCACACAAGUUUCAGAGAAUGAAAAAGAAGCAUCAGCAGCUGCAAUGGCAAUAUGAACAGAAUGCUGCACAAUGUCACAAAGGGUAGAAUCCACAUCACAUGACCCUGGAAUUCAACCCUUUCAUCAGCAAUCUGGACAAGCACAUGCUCAAAUGCCACCUUACUGGCCCUUCCAUGGUUCUCAGCCUCCGAUUUAUGCAGCACCCUUCUGGGAUUAAGCCUCCUGAGCCUUCUGCAGGGGCAAGCAGAUAUGCUCAAAAUGGUGCUUCUGCUUCAGGUCAGGGCUCAAACAUGGCGGGUGGAAACCAAAACAAGUGAUGCUUGGAUCAGAGGAUCUUAAUUUGACUUUCCUACUCCCUCAUGUUUCUUUUGCAGAUUUCACUGUUAAAGGAGUAUAUUUGAGCGAAGUAGAAGAAAGGAAGCUAAAUCAGUGAAUCUGCCUGUGCAGAUCAGUCAACUUCGACAUGAAACUGAGAGCAUUUCAGAAUGAAUCAGACAGUGAACUUUAUAUAGUUGGAAACCCUUGGAUGUCUAGUUUCCAGAACUUUUAGCGGUUCAUGCAUAUCGUUUUUCUACAAGAAGUUAUGGCCAAUUUAGUACAGCAAGGUCGGGCUGUCAGAGAAGCUGACACUUUGACGGAAAUCCAUGUUUUGAGGCCCGAAUUCCAUUUAGAAGCCCAACAACGAGUAUUACUCUAUUUACUAAGAAAAGGGAUUUCCCGAGGAUCUAAGUGAUAAAUGACGUAUUUUUAAGGGAUAAUGAUAAAAA